GUUUCAUUUAUCUGCAUUUGCACCUGCACUCUUCUCUAUAACUAAAGCUUAAUGUUAAGUUGGGAUAGAGAAAGGUGCAGAUGCUAGUGCUGACAAGUGCCAUCUU
This 106-nucleotide small RNA is filed under the name Manihot esculenta (cassava). RNAcentral describes it as "precursor microRNA miR530c". Lineage: Eukaryota; Viridiplantae; Streptophyta; Magnoliopsida; Malpighiales; Euphorbiaceae. The record is from RNAcentral.